UAGAGUUUGAUCAUGGCUCAGGACGAACGCUGGCUGCGUGCUUAACACAUGCAAGUCGAACGCUGAAGCCCGCAGCUUGCUGUGGGUGGAUGAGUGGCGAACGGGUGAGUAACACGUGAGUAACCUGCCCCCGACUUCGGGAUAAGCCCGGGAAACUGGGUCUAAUACCGGAUAUGACAACCGAAGGCAUCUUUGGUUGUGGAAAGUUUUUUCGGUUGGGGAUGGGCUCGCGGCCUAUCAGUUUGUUGGUGAGGUAAUGGCUCACCAAGACGACGACGGGUAGCCGGCCUGAGAGGGCGACCGGCCACACUGGGACUGAGACACGGCCCAGACUCCUACGGGAGGCAGCAGUGGGGAAUAUUGCACAAUGGGGGAAACCCUGAUGCAGCGACGCAGCGUGCGGGAUGACGGCCUUCGGGUUGUAAACCGCUUUCAGCAGGGAAGAAGCCCCUUGGGGUGACGGUACCUGCAGAAGAAGUACCGGCUAACUACGUGCCAGCAGCCGCGGUAAUACGUAGGGUACAAGCGUUGUCCGGAAUUAUUGGGCGUAAAGAGCUCGUAGGUGGUUGGUCACGUCUGCUGUGGAAACGCAACGCUUAACGUUGCGCGUGCAGUGGGUACGGGCUGACUAGAGUGCAGUAGGGGAGUCUGGAAUUCCUGGUGUAGCGGUGAAAUGCGCAAAUAUCACGAGGAACACCGGUGGCGAAGGCGGGACUCUGGGCUGUAACUGACACUGAGGAGCGAAAGCAUGGGGAGCGAACAGGAUUAGAUACCCUGGUAGUCCAUGCCGUAAACGUUGGGCACUAGUGUGGGGGACAUUCCACGUUCUC
RNAcentral lists this ribosomal RNA (830 nucleotides) under uncultured Brevibacterium sp. RNAcentral's name for it is "bacterial SSU rRNA". It matches the Rfam family "Bacterial small subunit ribosomal RNA", at positions 1 to 842 of the family's 1533-position model. Lineage: Bacteria; Bacillati; Actinomycetota; Actinomycetes; Micrococcales; Brevibacteriaceae. The record is from RNAcentral.